This 484-nucleotide ribosomal RNA is filed under the name uncultured bacterium. RNAcentral describes it as "partial 16S ribosomal RNA". It matches the Rfam family "Bacterial small subunit ribosomal RNA", at positions 30 to 507 of the family's 1533-position model. The record is from RNAcentral.
AUUGAACGCUGGCGGCAGGCCUAACACAUGCAAGUCGAGCGGAUGAAGGGAGCUUGCUCCUGGCUUCUGCGGCGGACGGGUGAGUAAUGCCUAGGAAUCUGCCUGGUCGUGGGGGCUAACGUCCGGACACGGGCGCUAAUACCGCAUACGUCCUGAGGGUGAAAGUGGGGGAUCUUCGGACCUCACGCUAUCAGCUGAGCCUAGGUCGGAUUAGCUAGUUGGUGGGGUAAAGGCCUACCAAGGCGACGAUCCGUAACUGGUCUGAGAGGAUGAUCAGUCACACUGGAACUGAGACACGGUCCAGACUCCUACGGGAGGCAGCAGUGGGGAAUAUUGGACAAUGGGCGAAAGCCUGAUCCAGCCAUGCCGCGUGUGUGAAGAAGGUCUUCGGAUUGUAAAACACUGUAAGUAGGGAGGAAGAGAAGUAAGUGAAUACCUUGCUGUUUUGACGUUACCAACAGAAUAAGCACCGGCUAACUUCGUG